CAGUCGCCGCGGGAAUACGUAGGUGGCGAGCGUUGUCCGGAAUUAUUGGGCGUAAAGGGAGCGCAGGCGGGCGAGUAAGUCUUUCUUAAAAGUGCGGGGCUCAACCCCGUGAGGGGAGAGAAACUACUCAUCUUGAGUGCAGGAGAGGAAAGCGGAAUUCCUAGUGUAGCGGUGAAAUGCGUAGAUAUUAGGAAGAACACCAGUGGCGAAGGCGGCUUUCUGGACUGUAACUGACGCUGAGGCCCGAAAGCCAGGGGAGCGAACGGGAUUAGAUACCCCUGUAGUCCCUGUCUCUUAUACA
Molecule: ribosomal RNA, 301 nt
Filed under: uncultured bacterium
Lineage: Bacteria
Description: partial 16S ribosomal RNA
Rfam family: Bacterial small subunit ribosomal RNA
Source: RNAcentral